GGCUCUGUAGUGUAGCGGUCAUCACUCAAGAUUCUGAUACGGCUUUCCAUGGGAUCUACUACAUCGUGUUCUUGAAACCCAGGUUCGAUUCCUGGCAGGGCCU
Molecule: non-coding RNA, 103 nt
Organism: Tricholoma furcatifolium
Lineage: Eukaryota; Fungi; Basidiomycota; Agaricomycetes; Agaricales; Tricholomataceae
Source: the annotation of a GenBank genome assembly